This 465-nucleotide ribosomal RNA is filed under the name uncultured bacterium. RNAcentral describes it as "partial 16S ribosomal RNA". It matches the Rfam family "Bacterial small subunit ribosomal RNA", at positions 338 to 795 of the family's 1533-position model. The record is from RNAcentral.
CCUACGGGGUGCAGCAGUAGGGAAUUUUCGUCAAUGGGCGCAAGCCUGAACGAGCAAUGCCGCGUGAACGAGGAAGGUCUUCGGAUCGUAAAGUUCUGUUGAAGGGGACAAAGAGCGGGGAGAGGAAAUGCUUUCUGAUUGAUAUUACCCUUCGAGGAAGUCACGGCAAACUACGUGCCAGCAGCAGCGGUAAUACGGAGGUGGGGAGAGUUAUCCGGAAUGAGUGGGCGUAAAGGGUGAGUAGGCGGCCUGCUAAGUCUGGAGUGAAAGGUACCGGCUCAACCGGUACAGGCUCUGGAAACUGGCGGGCUAGAGAGCAGGAGAGGGCGGUGGAACUCCAUGUGUAGCGGUAAAAUGCGUAGAGAUAUGGAAGAACACCAGUGGCGAAGGCGGCCGCCUGGCCUGUUAACUGACGCUGAGGCACGAAAGCGUGGGGAGCAAAUAGGAUUAGAUACCCGUGUAGUC